AGUUAGAACUAAGUUCUUCAUUAGGCUAUGUCCUCAUGGUAAAGGUGGCCUAGAAAUAAUCUACUCUUUAGCACAGAGAGAUGGCAACAGAGAGGGCUGAGACCCUGAGACCCACGAAAGUAAAGUUGAGAAAGGGGACUCAUAUUAGAAGAUAAACGAUCUCCAGAAACAUAGUGGCAGUCCAGAGUCAAGAAGAAUCAGUAGAGCACCCAUAUGUUGCACGUGGAUAGAUCCCAGAAGCACCAAUACAUAUACCAGGUGUUGAUUCCAAGAGUACUCCCUAAUAGAUCUCCUCCAGGCUAAUGUCCAUCUCAGAGUCUGCUGGGAGUGAGAGUAGGACACCCAACUUGCAACAACGGGAAAAGCUCUGAGGCCUUUGGUCCUUUAUUCUUCAAAGAGGAUCCUUUUUCUAUGCCUCCACCUUCCACUGAGUCAGAAUUUUCCUCCCUGGAGCUGCAAAUAUAGUAGUCUCAAUGGCAAAUGUUCAAGACACACUGAACUGAAGAGGUGACAGAAUACCACACAGACAUUUAGUUCUGAUUUGCAUCAAGUACAAGAAGCUUCAUUUCUGGAAUGAAAUAGUAGGAAAAUCCAUUCUCUUUCCUUACUACUUCCUUCCCAAUAUAAAUGUUGCUGUGCAGCAUUUGCCCCUAUAUGUACAGGUGAGAUGAUUGCAAAUAUUAUAGUCUGGCUUUAAAAAAAUGAAUUUCCUAGCACAAUAGGAAACCAAACAACCUCAAAG
Molecule: long non-coding RNA, 742 nt
Organism: Choloepus didactylus (southern two-toed sloth)
Lineage: Eukaryota; Metazoa; Chordata; Mammalia; Pilosa; Megalonychidae
Exons: 3
Source: RefSeq, a predicted model, not a curated record